Pteropus alecto (black flying fox) is the source of this 1944-nucleotide long non-coding RNA. RefSeq lists it as uncharacterized. The transcript is spliced from 2 exons. The record is from RefSeq and is a predicted model, not a curated record. Lineage: Eukaryota; Metazoa; Chordata; Mammalia; Chiroptera; Pteropodidae.
CAUGUUGGGCCCUCUGGGGCAAGAGCUAGUCUAUCGUACUCGAUUCCCCCGAGGCCGUGGGACUUGAGUCCUUUACUUCCCCACUGCCCACUCGCUGGCCACUCCUCUGUCCCUCGUCCCGAAGUGGAAAGCGGCUCUUCCUCCACUCUGUGCGGGUCUCAGCGUAGAUUCUGUGAUCACCUCAGAACAAAUUUCUCUGCCCUUCAUAGCUACUACCGGUACUAGGGUGUCCUACCCUCAGAGCAUCUUGUUGCUCACCGGCCCUCAGCCCUGGAGCUGGGGUCUUGGUUUGGGCACCGUCGAACCGCGAAUCAUGGCUUCUAGCCAGUGUGUGGCCCCUGCACCCCCUCGCCCAACUAUCUUUGUCUAUACCGGGCCUCCCCACAGGGCCCUGCCCCACGUGUUCUUCAAAGACUACACUGGUGACUCAGAGUUGACUCCAUUCUUGCUAUAGAAGUUGCAUCAUCCAUCUCUUUCAACAGGGCUUGUAAUACUGCAGUAACACUGACCCUUCUUUAGGUUGCAUCAGUCCAUUAUCAAGAUAGAAAUCACCAUUCAGCCACAUUACAGCUUCAUAUCAAUUUAAGCAAAUUUCCUGUAUAUAUCACAAUCUACUUCCAUUAACAACAAAGCUCUCAAUUUCAGCCUCACCCUUGAUUGAUCCAGUAACUAUUUCCAGCUCCCCUUUUUCUAAGGUGUAGGAAAGUUAUAUCUGGCUAACUUCUGAAGAGAAUUGAGUGUAUUGGUUGUAGUAUCUUAAAAACCAACAUAUUAGGUGUAUGUUACAGUGUAUUUCAAAGUGUGGUCAUUUAUGAAUUGAAUGGUAAAAUGGGUAGAUAUAUCUUGUCUGCUGAAUGUUUAAUGCCGAUGAUAGUACCAAGUUAUCAAUAUUUAAGUGCUAGACACUAAACUAAAUGCUUUGUGUGCAUUAUCUCUUAAUCCUUAGGAAAACAUUUUUUAACCCCUAUUUUAGAGCUAAGGAAUCUGAAGCCCCAAGAGAUAACGAAACGCCCAGGAGAUCACACAGCUAAGAAGAUAAUAGAGCCAGGACUUGAGCCUUGGCAGUUUGAUUUUUAAUUUCUGCAGUCUAGGUUGUCACCCUGAGCUUUGGGUUUAUAAGACUUCUCAUUUUAGGAUAUAGAGUAGUUAACACAGUUUGCAAAUAUUUUGAUAAUAGGUCAUAGACAAGUGAAAUUUUAUUCAGUAAUUGGUUGUUUCACUUGUACUUCUAGGGGUAAGAAAAUUUGUAUUUCCCAUCUGAUUUGACAAAGAUAAGCAGAGUUAGGACUGAUUAGGAUUGGAUGUCAUCUAGCUCCUAAAUCUUCCUUUCUGAAAGAGAAUUAAAGGCAGAGUGGAAAAGGAAAAAAGCCUAUGUAAUUGACAAGUUGAAUCUUUAGACCCUGAUAAUUGGGGAAUUUUUCAAAUUCCUUUGAAAAAUUCGUCAGAGAGAUUCAACUAAAAGAUAGGGCACAGAACUGAAGGAAAAAAAAACAACCCAGAGCCUCAGUUUCUUCAUCAAUUGAAUGUCAGAUUUUUGUCUUGCCUCUCUUAGUGGCUUGUUGCAAGGACAAAAUGAGAUAUGUGAAAAUACUUGGAUAAUUGUAGAAUAGUGGUAAUAUUAUUAAUCACAUAAAUACACUAUGAAAAGGAAUUUCAGAAGCUUUCUAAGAAAACCACCUCUUGAGAAUCAAUUUUCAAAAUUUUUUUAAGUGAGACUAAGACAUUGUUACCUAGUUGUCCCAGCAUCAUUUUUCAUAUUAGUAUAUUUGUUAGCAUCUGUCUUAAUUACUAUAGAUAUCUAAUAAGUCUUGAUCUCCCGUAAAACCCUACCACAUUGCAAUAUUGCUCGUUCUUCAGUAGUGUCUUUGGCUACUCUUGGCACUUUGUAUUUCCAUAUAAAUUUUGGAAUUAGCCUAUCAAGUUAGCAAAAAAAAAAAAAAAAAA